Molecule: long non-coding RNA, 1292 nt
Organism: Gopherus flavomarginatus (Mexican gopher tortoise)
Lineage: Eukaryota; Metazoa; Chordata; Testudines; Testudinidae
Exons: 3
Source: RefSeq, a predicted model, not a curated record
GGUUCGGGGCGAGGAAGGGGGCAGGGAAUGGGACAGGGAUGGGCUGGCUGGUUUGGGGCGAGGAAGGGGGCAGGGAAGGGGGCAGGGACGGGCUGGCUGGAAGGGGGCAGGGAAUGGGGCAGGGACGGGCUGGCUGGUUCGGGGCGAGGAAGGGGGCAGGGAAUGGGGCAGGGAUGGGCUGGCUGGUUCGGGGGCGGGGAAGGGGGCAGGGAAUGGGGUAGGGAUGGGCUGGCUGGUUCGGGGCGAGGAAGGGGUCAGGGACGGGCUGGCUGGUUCGGGGCGAGGAAGGGGGCAGGGAAUGGGGCAGGGACGGGCUGGCUGGUUCGGGGCGAGGAAGGGGGCAGGGACAGGCUGGCUGGAAGGGGGCAGGGAAUGGGGCAGGGACGGGCUGGCUGGUUCGGGGCGAGGAAGGGGGCAGGGACAGGCUGGCUGGUUCGGGGCGAGGAAGGGGGCAGGGAAUGGGGCAGGGACGGGCUGGCUGGUUCGGGGCGAGGAAGGGGGCAGGGAAUGGGGCAGGGACGGGCUGGCUGGUUCGGGGGCGGGGAAGGGGGCAGGGAAUGAGGUAGGGAUGGGCUGGCUGGUUCGGGGCGAGGAAUGGGGCAGGGACGGGCUGGCUGGUUCGGGGCGAGGAAGGGGGCAGGGAAUGGGGCAGGGACGGGCUGGCUGGUUCGGGGCGAGGAAGGGGGCAGGGAAUGGGGCAGGGAUGAGCUGGCUGGUUCGGGGCGAGGAAGGGGGCAGGGACGGGCUGGCUGGUUCGGGGCGAGGAAGGGGGCAGGGAAUGGGGCAGGGACGGGCUGGCUGGUUCAGGGCGAGGAAGGGGGCAGGGAAUGGGGCAGGGACGGGCUGGCUGGUUCGGGGCGAGGAAGGGGGCAGGGCUGAGGUGCGAACUGGGUCAGGCCUGGGCCCGGCUGUUACAUCAGUGGGGCGGGCGCGGGGGCCGCUGUAGGUCAGGGCUUGGGGCCAACUAGGGCACUCAGCUGGGCGGGGGGGCAGGCUUGAGGCUGGUGCUGGGAGUGGGGGGCACAUGCCGGGCAGGGGCAAGGACCCCCCUGCUAACCCCUCUUGCCCCACAUCGCCCAGCUCCCCCAUGCCCCCCACUCAGACCCCCAGGGGUGUGGUACGUGGGGGGGGAGCUGCCCCCAGCCCGGUCCCCUAUAGAUAGCCCCAGUGGAGCCUUAAUUGCUAAUUAGGGCUAACGAAGGGAUCAGGGAGGAUUAAGGAGGGGCUGGUUCGGCUGGGCAUCCCCUCACAGUGGGGGAGGGAGCGAGGGCAGGACCCCUAUAUACCCCCAA